UUGUUCCAGCAGCUGCGGUUAUACUGGGGGGGAUUUAGAAAUUUUCGGUAAGUAGUUAUAAGUUGUAUUUCUAAUAAGUUUUAUUAUAAUUAUUAGGAAGUGAAAUUCUGAGUUGUUUAGUAAUAAUCUUGUUAUUAGUUUGUUUUAUAAGCUAUAAAAUCUUGGAUCUAAACUAGGAUUAGAUACCCUAUUAUACCAAGAAGAAAUUUUAGGGCUUGAGUAGUAACCAGUUAUGAUCUUGAAACUUAAAGAAUUUGGCGGUAUUCAAGUCUGGUUAGAGGAACCUGCUCUUUAAAACGAUAUGCCACGAAUUAUCUUGCUUUUUUUUGUAUUCAGUUUGUAUACCGCCAUUAUUAAAUAGCGUUUUUAAAUGUCUAUUAUAAUAUAUUGUUAUAAAAUAUAUUAGGUCAAGGUGCAGCCAAUGGAAAAGUAGUUGUGGGUUACAUUGUAUUUUAUUUUCGAAUAAAUUUUGGAAGAUAAAUUUUUGAAGUUGGAUUUAAUUGUAAAUUUUUUUUAAUAUGUAAUUUUGAUAAUAGCUCUAGAAUAUGUACACAUUGCCCGUCGCUCUCAUAAACCAAGUUGAGAUAAGUCGUAACAAAGUAGGAAU
This 607-nucleotide ribosomal RNA is filed under the name Periclimenaeus orontes. RNAcentral's name for it is "partial 12S ribosomal RNA". The record is from RNAcentral. Lineage: Eukaryota; Metazoa; Arthropoda; Malacostraca; Decapoda; Palaemonidae.